AGUGAACGCUGGCGGCAUGCCUAACACAUGCAAGUCGAACGGCAGCACGGGAGGAACUCUCGCGUCCAGUGGGCGCCGGGUGGGGAAGGCAUAGGAAUCUGCCAGGCUGCGGGGGAUAACGUAGUGACACUUACGCUAAUACCGUAUACGACCUUCGGGUGAACGUGGGGGACCUUCGGGUCUCAGGCGAUCGGCUGAGCCUAUGCCCGAUUAGCUAGUUGGCGGGGUAAGAGCCCACCAAGGCGACGAUCGGUAGCUGGUCUGAGAGGAUGAUCAGCCACACUGGAACUGAGACACGGCCCAGACUCCUACGGGAGGCAGCAGUGGGGAAUAUUGGACAAAGGGCGCAAGCCUGAUCCAGCAAUGCCGCGUGUGUGAAGAAGGCCUUCGGGUUGUAAAGCACUUUUGUUCGGGAAGAAAAGCGUGUGGUUAAUACCCGGACGGGAUGACGGUACCGAAAGAAUAAGCACCGGCUAACUUCGUG
Molecule: ribosomal RNA, 484 nt
Filed under: uncultured bacterium
Lineage: Bacteria
Description: partial 16S ribosomal RNA
Rfam family: Bacterial small subunit ribosomal RNA
Source: RNAcentral